GUGUCAGCAGCCGCGGUGAUACGGGGGGGCAAGCGUUGUUCGGAAUUACUGGGCGUAAAGGGCUCGUAGGUGGCCAACUAAGUCAGACGUGAAAUCCCCAGGCUUAACCUGGGAACUGCGUCUGAUACUGGAUGGCUUGAAUUCGGGAGAGGGAUGCAGAAUUCCAGGUGUAGCGGUGAAAUGCGUAGAUAUCUGGAGGAAUACCGGUGGCGAAGGCGGCAUCCUGGACCGAUAUUGACACUGAUGAGCGAAAGCCAGGGGAGCAAACGGGAUUAGAUACCCCGGUAGUCCUGGCCCUAAACGAUGAAUGCUUGGUGUGACGGGUAUCGAUCCCUGUCGUGCCGAAGCUAACGCAUUAAGCAUUCCGCCUGGGGAGUACGGUCGCAAGGCUGAAACUCAAAUGAAUU
Molecule: ribosomal RNA, 407 nt
Filed under: uncultured bacterium
Lineage: Bacteria
Description: bacterial SSU rRNA
Rfam family: Bacterial small subunit ribosomal RNA
Source: RNAcentral